RNAcentral lists this ribosomal RNA (253 nucleotides) under uncultured bacterium. RNAcentral's name for it is "partial 16S ribosomal RNA". It matches the Rfam family "Bacterial small subunit ribosomal RNA", at positions 524 to 776 of the family's 1533-position model. The record is from RNAcentral.
UACAGAGGUCCCGAGCGUUGUUCGGAUUUAUUGGGCGUAAAGGGUGCGUAGGCGGCGGAGUAAGUUGGGUGUGAAAUCCCGGGGCUCAACCUCGGAAUGGCAUUCAAUACUGCUUCGCUCGAGUACUGGAGAGGAGGCUGGAAUUUACGGUGUAGCAGUGAAAUGCGUAGAUAUGCGGAGGAACACCGGUGGCGAAGGCGGCAUCCUGGACCGACACUGACGCUGAGGAGCGAAAGCCAGGGGAGCAAACGGG